Molecule: ribosomal RNA, 876 nt
Filed under: Colletotrichum fructicola
Lineage: Eukaryota; Fungi; Ascomycota; Sordariomycetes; Glomerellales; Glomerellaceae
Description: partial large subunit ribosomal RNA
Rfam family: Eukaryotic large subunit ribosomal RNA
Source: RNAcentral
GGGGAAAUAGGCACAGGGAUUGCCUCAGUAACGGCGAGUGAAGCGGCAACAGCUCAAAUUUGAAAUCUGGCCCUAGGCCCGAGUUGUAAUUUGCAGAGGAUGCUUUUGGUGAGGUGCCUUCCAAGUUCCCUAGAACGGGACGCCAGAGAGGGUGAGAGCCCCGUACAGUUGGACACCAAGCCUUUGUAAAGCUCCUUCGACGAGUCGAGUAGUUUGGGAAUGCUGCUCAAAAUGGGAGGUAUAUUUCUUCUAAAGCUAAAUACCGGCCAGAGACCGAUAGCGCACAAGUAGAGUGAUCGAAAGAUGAAAAGCACUUUGAAAAGAGGGUUAAACAGCACGUGAAAUUGUUAAAAGGGAAGCGCUUGUGACCAGACUUGCGUCCGGUGAAUCACCCAGCUCUCGCGGCUGGGGCACUUCGCCGGCUCAGGCCAGCAUCAGCUCGCUGUCGGGGACAAAAGCUUCAGGAACGUAGCUCUCUUCGGGGAGUGUUAUAGCCUGUUGCACAAUACCCUUCGGCGGGCUGAGGUACGCGCUCCGCAAGGAUGCUGGCAUAAUGGUCAUCAGCGACCCGUCUUGAAACACGGACCAAGGAGUCAACCUUAUGUGCGAGUGUUCGGGUGUCAAACCCCUACGCGUAAUGAAAGUGAACGCAGGUGAGAGCUUCGGCGCAUCAUCGACCGAUCCUGAUGUUCUCGGAUGGAUUUGAGUAAGAGCAUAUAGGGUUGGACCCGAAAGAAGGUGAACUAUGCGUGUGUAGGGUGAAGCCAGAGGAAACUCUGGUGGAGGCUCGCAGCGGUUCUGACGUGCAAAUCGAUCGUCAAACAUGCGCAUGGGGGCGAAAGACUAAUCGAACCUCUAUAGCGGUCCGAACACACC